CCUACGGGCGGCAGCAGUGAGGAAUAUUGGUCAAUGGACGAGAGUCUGAACCAGCCAAGUAGCGUGAAGGAUGACUGCCCUAUGGGUUGUAAACUUCUUUUAUAUGGGAAUAAAAUGUUCCACGUGUGGGAUUUUGUAUGUACCAUAUGAAUACGGAUCGGCUAACUCCGUGCCAGCAGCCGCGGUAAUACGGAGGAUCCGAGCGUUAUCCGGAUUUAUUGGGUUUAAAGGGAGCGUAGGUGGAUUGUUAAGUCAGUUGUGAAAGUUUGCGGCUCAACCGUAAAAUUGCAGUUGAAACUGGCAGUCUUGAGUACAGUAGAGGUAGGCGGAAUUCGUGGUGUAGCGGUGAAAUGCUUAGAUAUCACGAAGAACUCCGAUUGCGAAGGCAGUUCACUGGACUGCAACUGACACUGAGGCUCGAAAGUGUGGGUAUCAAACAGGAUUAGAUACCCGAGUAGUC
This 460-nucleotide ribosomal RNA is filed under the name uncultured bacterium. RNAcentral's name for it is "partial 16S ribosomal RNA". It matches the Rfam family "Bacterial small subunit ribosomal RNA", at positions 338 to 795 of the family's 1533-position model. The record is from RNAcentral.